UUUAAGGUCUAAUCUGCCCAAUGAUUAAUUAAAUGGCCGCGGUACUUUGACCGUGCAAAGGUAGCAUAAUAAUUAGUUUUUUAAUUGAAAGCUGGAAUGAAUGAUUGAACGAGAAAAUUGUUGUCUCAAUUUAAUUUUAUUAGAAUUUUAUUUUUAAGUAAAAAAGCUUAAAUAUAUUUAAAAGACGAGAAGACCCUAUAGAGUUUUAUAGUUUAAUUUUAAUUAAUUUGUUAGAAAUUAUUAUAUUAAUUUUUAUUAGAUUAUUUUAUUGGGGUGAUAGAAAAAUUUAAUUAACUUUUUUUAUUUAUUAUCAUUUAUAUAUGUUUAAAUGAUCCAUUUUUUAUGAUUAUAAGAUUUAAUUACCUUAGGGAUAACAGCGUAAUUUUUUUUUAGAGUUCUUAUCGAAAAAAUAGAUUGCGACCUCGAUGUUGGAUUAAAAUUAAUGUUUGGUGUAAAAGCUAAACUAUUAGGUCUGUUCGACCUUUAAAAUUUUACA
RNAcentral lists this ribosomal RNA (496 nucleotides) under Ablaberoides sp. DA1097. RNAcentral describes it as "partial 16S large subunit ribosomal RNA". The stretch from base 370 to 496 matches the Rfam family "Bacterial large subunit ribosomal RNA", at positions 2473 to 2600 of the family's 2925-position model. The record is from RNAcentral. Lineage: Eukaryota; Metazoa; Arthropoda; Insecta; Coleoptera; Scarabaeidae.